GAUGAACGCUGGCGGCGUGCCUAAUACAUGCAAGUCGAACGCAUAGCGAAAGGUGCUUGCACCUUUCAAGUGAGUGGCGAACGGGUGAGUAACACGUGGACAACCUGCCUCAAGGCUGGGGAUAACAUUUGGAAACAGAUGCUAAUACCGAAUAAAACUUAGUGUCGCAUGACACAAAGUUAAAAGGCGCUUCGGCGUCACCUAGAGAUGGAACCGCGGUGCAUUAGUUAGUUGGUGGGGUAAAGGCCUACCAAGACAAUGAUGCAUAGCCGAGUUGAGAGACUGAUCGGCCACAUUGGGACUGAGACACGGCCCAAACUCCUACGGGAGGCUGCAGUAGGGAAUCUUCCACAAUGGGCGAAAGCCUGAUGGAGCAACGCCGCGUGUGUGAUGAAGGCUUUCGGGUCGUAAAGCACUGUUGUAUGGGAAGAACAGCUAGAAUAGGAAAUGAUUUUAGUUUGACGGUACCAUACCAGAAAGGGACGGCUAAAUACGUG
RNAcentral lists this ribosomal RNA (497 nucleotides) under uncultured bacterium. RNAcentral describes it as "partial 16S ribosomal RNA". It matches the Rfam family "Bacterial small subunit ribosomal RNA", at positions 28 to 507 of the family's 1533-position model. The record is from RNAcentral.